This 468-nucleotide ribosomal RNA is filed under the name uncultured bacterium. Its description in RNAcentral is "partial 16S ribosomal RNA". It matches the Rfam family "Bacterial small subunit ribosomal RNA", at positions 28 to 507 of the family's 1533-position model. The record is from RNAcentral.
GACGAACGCUGGCGGCGUGCUUAACACAUGCAAGUCGAACGGAAAGGCCCUGCUUUUGUGGGGUGCUCGAGUGGCGAACGGGUGAGUAACACGUGAGUAACCUGCCCUUGACUUUGGGAUAACUUCAGGAAACUGGGGCUAAUACCGGAUAGGAGCUCCUGCUGCAUGGUGGGGGUUGGAAAGUUUCGGCGGUUGGGGAUGGACUCGCGGCUUAUCAGCUUGUUGGUGGGGUAGUGGCUUACCAAGGCUUUGACGGGUAGCCGGCCUGGGAGGGUGAUCGGCCACAUUGGGACUGAGAUACAGCCCAGACUCCUACGGGAGGCAGCAGUGGGGAAUAUUGCACAAUGGGCGGAAGCCUGAUGCAGCAACGCCGCGUGCGGGAUGACGGCCUUCGGGUUGUAAACCGCUUUCGCCUGUGACGAAGCGUGAGUGACGGUAAUGGGUAAAGAAGCACCAGCUAACUACGUG